Molecule: ribosomal RNA, 517 nt
Filed under: fungal sp.
Lineage: Eukaryota; Fungi
Description: eukaryotic LSU rRNA
Rfam family: 5.8S ribosomal RNA (bases 151-304)
Source: RNAcentral
UCAGGGGCUCGGGUUUCACUCCAUCCCUGUGACAUACCACUUGUUGCCUCGGCGGAUCAGCCCGCUCCCGGUAAAACGGGACGGCCCGCCAGAGGACCCCUAAACUCUGUUUCUAUAUGUAACUUCUGAGUAAAACCAUAAAUAAAUCAAAACUUUCAACAACGGAUCUCUUGGUUCUGGCAUCGAUGAAGAACGCAGCAAAAUGCGAUAAGUAAUGUGAAUUGCAGAAUUCAGUGAAUCAUCGAAUCUUUGAACGCACAUUGCGCCCGCCAGUAUUCUGGCGGGCAUGCCUGUUCGAGCGUCAUUUCAACCCUCAAGCACAGCUUGGUGUUGGGACUCGCGUUAAUUCGCGUUCCCCAAAUUGAUUGGCGGUCACGUCGAGCUUCCAUAGCGUAGUAGUAAAACCCUCGUUACUGGUAAUCGUCGCGGCCACGCCGUUAAACCCCAACUUCUGAAUGUUGACCUCGGAUCAGGUAGGAAUACCCGCUGAACUUAAGCAUAUCAAUAACCGGAGGAA